RNAcentral lists this long non-coding RNA (915 nucleotides) under Salmo salar (Atlantic salmon). Its description in RNAcentral is "lncRNA (ENSSSAG00000119205.1)". The record is from RNAcentral. Lineage: Eukaryota; Metazoa; Chordata; Actinopteri; Salmoniformes; Salmonidae.
GGAUGGAUGGGUGGGUGGAUGGAUGGGUGGGUGGGUGGAUGGAGUUGUGUUUUCCCUCCCAGUGAAUGUUGAACUUUUCAUGGCAGUCUAGUUGAUAACAGCACGACUGUAUGUGUUGAACGUGUAAACGACUAUGUGUUGAACGUGUAAAUGACUGUGUUGAACGUGUAAAUGACUAUGUGUUGAACGUGUAAAUGCUUUCAUCAAACAUUAGUCAAGCCAGUUGUUCUACUCUCAACCUUUUGUUUAAAACGGAUUUAAAAUGAGAUAAUAUAAUACAAUGAGUUUAAUAGUAUUUCAAAUACUAGAGGCUUCUAAUAAUGAGGUGUUGCAAGAGGCUUCUAAUAAUGAUGUGAUGCAAGAGGCUUCUAAUAAUGAUGUGAUUCAAGAGGCUUCUAAUAAUGAUGUGAUUCAAGAGGCUUCUAAUAAUGUGUUGCAAGAGGCUUCUAAUAAUGAUGUGUUGCCAGAGGCUUCUAAUAAUGAUGUGAUGCCAGAGGCUUCUAAUAAUGAUGUGAUGCCAGAGGCUUCUAAUAAUGAUGUGUUGCCAGAGGCUUCUAAUAAUGAUGUGAUGCCAGAGGCUUCUAAUAAUGAUGUGUUGCCAGAGGCUUCUAAUAAUGAUGUGUUGCCAGAGGCUUCUAAUAAUGAUGUGUUGCCAGAGGCUUCUAAUAAUGAUGUGUUGCAAGAGGCUUCUAAUAAUGAUGUGAUUCAAGAGGCUUCUAAUAAUGAUGUGAUGCCAGAGGCUUCUAAUAAUGAUAUACAGUGCAUUCGGAAAGUAUUCAGACCCCUUGAUGUUUUCCACAGUUUGUUACGUUACAGCAAUAUUCUAAAAUUGAUUAAUCUACACACAGUACCCCAUAAUGACAAAGCAAAUGUUAUUUGUGACAUUUUUACAAAUGUAUUAAAAAUAAAAAAUGG